CGCCGUCGAACCGUUGAACGCAGUCGUCCACCUGCAAUCACCUAAAAAACUCUCACUUUCCUCAGUCCGGAAAAACAAUCGCUGCACUUGAACAGUUUUUAUGCCUUGCUGGUUGGUGUAGAAAAGUGAAGUGCUAACGAAUCUACUGUGGAAAAGUGACAGUUAAGUGUUUUUCAUCACACGAAAAGAAUGACUGGAAGUUUUCAAGGCGAACAUCAAAGAGU
Leptinotarsa decemlineata (Colorado potato beetle) is the source of this 224-nucleotide long non-coding RNA. The record is from RefSeq and is a predicted model, not a curated record. Lineage: Eukaryota; Metazoa; Arthropoda; Insecta; Coleoptera; Chrysomelidae.